RNAcentral lists this ribosomal RNA (435 nucleotides) under Triticum aestivum (bread wheat). RNAcentral describes it as "partial small subunit ribosomal RNA". Lineage: Eukaryota; Viridiplantae; Streptophyta; Magnoliopsida; Poales; Poaceae. The record is from RNAcentral.
AUGGCCCAGCCCAUGACAGGCAGCAGCAAAGGGUGCCUUUCCAGAGCAAGGUGGUUGAGAUGGGUGCCCAUGCGCCCAUCCAUCAGUCCCCUCAACAAUCUUCAUCAAGCUUGGGCGGCUGCACCAUUUGCCAUGGUGCAGCCCAUGACAGGCAGCAGCCAUAAAGGGCGCCUCUUCAGAGCAAGGUGCUUGAGAUGGGCGUCCAUGCGCCCAUCCAUCAUCACAACAGCUGCUGAGUACAUCCAUUCCAUCCAUGGUGUUUGCCCAUUCUUGGCAAAGGAAGAAGUGAUGCAACUCCAAUGGAGGUGGAGCAGCCCACAAUGUGCCCAUUGUUGGCAAAAGAAGGAAGAGAUGCAACUCCAAUGGAGGUGGAGGGGCCCACGAUGCUAUAUGUUGUAUAUUUUUUAUUUUUUAUUUAUUGAUGCCUGGUGGUGA